CCAGACUCCUACGGGAGGCAGCAGUGGGGGAUAUUGCACAAUGGGGGGAACCCUGAUGCGGCGACGCCGCGUGGGUGAAGAAGCGCCUCGGCGCGUAAAGCCCUGUCAGCAGGGAAGAAAAUGACGGUACCUGAAGAAGAAGCCCCGGCUAACUACGUGCCAGCAGCCGCGGUAAUACGUAGGGGGCAAGCGUUAUCCGGAUUUACUGGGUGUAAAGGGGGCGCAGACGGCGAUGAAAGCCAGGAGUGAAAGCCCGGGGCCCACCCCCGGGACUGCCCUUGGAACUGUGUGGCUAGAGUGCGGGAGGGGCAGGCGGAAUUCCUGGUGUAGCGGUGAAAUGCGUAUAUAUCAGGAGGAACACCGGUGUCGAAGGCGGCCUGCUGGACUGCAACU
Molecule: ribosomal RNA, 393 nt
Filed under: uncultured bacterium
Lineage: Bacteria
Description: partial 16S ribosomal RNA
Rfam family: Bacterial small subunit ribosomal RNA
Source: RNAcentral